This 497-nucleotide ribosomal RNA is filed under the name uncultured bacterium. RNAcentral describes it as "partial 16S ribosomal RNA". It matches the Rfam family "Bacterial small subunit ribosomal RNA", at positions 28 to 507 of the family's 1533-position model. The record is from RNAcentral.
GAUGAACGCUGGCGGCGUGCCUAAUACAUGCAAGUCGAGCGAACGGACGAGAAGCUUGCUCCUCUGAUGUUAGCGGCGGACGGGUGAGUAACACGUGGAUAACCUACCUAUAAGACUGGGAUAACUUCGGGAAACCGUAGCUAAUACCGGAUAAUAUUUUGAACCGCAUGGUUCAAAAGUGAAAGACGGUCUUGCUGUCACUUAUAGAUGGAUCCGCGCUGCAUGAGCUAGUUGGUAAGGUAACGGCUUACCAAGGCAACGAUGCAUAGCCGACCUGAGAGGGAGGACGGACACACUGGAAGUGAGACACAGCCCAGACUCUGGCGGGAGGACACAGUAGAGAAUCUUACGCGAUGGGCGAGAGCCUGAUGGAGGAAAGCGGCGGGAGUGAUGAAGGACUACUGAUCGGAGAGCUAUGUUAGCAGGGAAGAAGAAAUGUGUAAGUAACUGUGAACAUAAUGACGGUACCUAAUCAGAAAGCCACGGCUAACUCCGUG